AGGAAAGCAACAGCAACUCCCUGAGUAGCGGCGAGCGAAACGGGAAGAGCCCGCUGAUCACGAAAGCCAGAAGAAUCCGAUGGAAUGCGGAACCACAGAGGGUGACAGUCCCGUACACGAAAAUAAACACACAUCGUAGGAGCACCUGAGUAGGUCCAGUCACGUGAAACCUGGAUUGAAUCUACGGGGACCAUCCCGUAAGGCUAAAUACUCUCUGACGACCGAUAGCAAACUCAGUAGGGCGACUGAAAGAUGGGAAGAACCCCUGCUAGGGGAGGAUAGUGAACCUGAAACCAUGUGCCUACAAGCGGUCGGAGCCCGAUUCUAACGGGUGACGGCGUGCCUUUUGCAUAAUGAUCCGGCGAGUUACUGUUUGCGGCCCGGUUAAGGUCUUACGGACCGAAGCCCAAGGGAAACCGAGUCUGAAUAGGGCGUUUUGUCGCAAGUAGUAGACGCGAAACUGCGUGAUCUACCCAUGAGCAGGUUGAAGCGCGGGUUAUACUGCGUGGAGGACCGAACCCACUUGGGUUGAAAACCGAGGGGAUGACUUGUGGGGAGGAGUGAAAGUCUAAUCAAACGCAGAGAUAGCUCGUUCUCUCCGAAAUAGCUUUAG
RNAcentral lists this ribosomal RNA (613 nucleotides) under Planctomycetaceae bacterium. RNAcentral's name for it is "partial 23S ribosomal RNA". It matches the Rfam family "Bacterial large subunit ribosomal RNA", at positions 216 to 873 of the family's 2925-position model. Lineage: Bacteria; Pseudomonadati; Planctomycetota; Planctomycetia; Planctomycetales; Planctomycetaceae. The record is from RNAcentral.